RNAcentral lists this long non-coding RNA (1261 nucleotides) under Monodelphis domestica (gray short-tailed opossum). RNAcentral's name for it is "lncRNA (ENSMODG00000041777.1)". Lineage: Eukaryota; Metazoa; Chordata; Mammalia; Didelphimorphia; Didelphidae. The record is from RNAcentral.
ACGGUGAUUUCAUUCCCUCUGGAAUAUAGAAUAAAACAAUAAAAAUGAUAAAUUAGGGCAACCAUGUCCUUUCAUGUAGUUGAAUCUUUAUUUGUCUGUUUAGUUAUUUAAUGCGUUAUUUCUUGAACAGCUUCUGGUGGUGGAAGAUUUGGGUGCCCAAGUCUUAUCCCAAGGCCAGAGCUUCCUGCUUCAGCUGGUGUCUUGCCCAGUAGUAAUGGUGUCUUCUGUUGCGAUAUCCAAACCAUUGCUUCUCCUCCACCACUGACAGAUUCAAUAGGAGCAAAAGAAACGAUUCUCUUCCUCCUGGAACCUGUACUUGCUGAACUAGGCCAGACCAGGGUCAAAGGGCCUCUCUCUCAACCCAUAUCUCCCUCACUUUCUGGGCUUUCUUGUCACCCAGAGGACCCACACUGCCAUUUUCACUCUUGUACCUCCCCUCUCUAUUCACUGUGUUCCCUCUAGCUGCCCUGAGUUUCUUAUACUUCUCACUAGAAAUUUUUCACUUAUAUCUUCUUUCAUAUAUUUAAAACAAUAGUUUGCCUUUCUCUCUAUUCUUACACUGCCCUCUGCCCAAAUCCCUCUAUUCCUUUCUUGAUUCAACUCGAUACGAAGUCCCCCACUUUAAAUCAAUCCCCAUCCCAAUCAGAACUUAAUUUACAGUAAGCUUAUAUUUGACACGUCUAUGUACGUAGUUCUUGGUCUUGCUUACAGAGAUUUUCAAGUCCCGUUACCGGGCCUCACCUGCUCAACAGUGUGUCACUACUCCGUGUCGGGGCAAUGGCCUGAAGGGCCUUGGUCUUCUUCUUGAUCAUGGCGGUCACAGGUGGGCCUGCAUUCCAUGGGACCAACCCUUGGGAGUACAGUCUUAUGAGGCCAGUGGGUGGAACAGGAGCUGAGGAAGCAUGCUCUCCAGAGUGCAGCCCUAGGUUCCUGGGAAUCAGGUUAGAUCUGAUGCUUGAUGUCUUCAGAAGGCUCCACGGAAUACAGUCACAGAUAUAAUGGGGCUCAAGGGAAAAGAUACAAUUUGAGUCCCAAAGCUGCAUUCCUAAACCCAGCCUCUAACCCUCUUCUGCCAGGCUCUUGUCCCAACCCCACCCCAAUCUAGUCUCUGUAUGAUAUCAACCAUGACCUCAUAAGUACAAAGCAGCUCAUUAUAGGGGAAGGACUCUAGUGGUAAAGGACAUGGUUUCUACCUCCAAUGCAUACUACUGUGUGACCCUGUGUCAUUAAAAUCACCCUGGGCCUCAGUUUCAUACUCUAU